GUGAAAUAAUUUAUGAUAUGUCGUACAUCCUCAUAACUACAUACAUGCGAUGAUUUAAUAGCGUUUUUACGAGAUGGAAAAAAAUAUUGUAAUUCGGACCAUACAGCUUUAAAAGAAUAAGCAAUGCUUUGUUGUUUUAAUGUUCCUCAUUGUUAAUAAUCGUUUACAUAUUUCGUAAUGUCCCAUUGAAUUAAUCGAAGCAUUCUCAUUUACAUGUGUAAUCUUUUCGCCCUUAGUUUAACACUAGUACAAUAUUCCUUGGUUAUCUCUUAUCGGUAUUGGUCGACCAACAUGUCGUUCCUUAUAACAUCGAUAACUCUGCUUGUUUUGUUCAGUGAUUCAAAAUGUUGUAAGCCAGGCUGGUUGGAAUUCGAAGACAAAUGUUACUGGUUUUCAAACUCUAAUCUGGACUGGUAUAGAGCUUCGAGCUGUUGCCAGGCUUUGAGUUCCAAACUAGCAGAACCACUAACAACAGACGCAAUGAACUUUAUGUCAAGUGAAACUAUAACCAAAGAUAUAAAAGGGCAAACAACAUAGCUGGAUAAAGCAUCCUAAGUCUGCACCUCGUAAAGCUAUGACAAUGAGAGAAAUGUAUUCACCCAGGCAAUCAGAAUAUAGAGUGCAACCCGGAAGGUGCGCUGCAGCCCAAAGAGAGUCAUGGUUAUUGGCAUCAAGUUCUCCAUCAGCUUUACCUCACAGGCACCACUUGUGAUUUCAUAGUUUGAACACCAAUGAACAUGGAAGUGAUUCUCAUCCUUCGAGAUGAAUUAUGGGAAUUAUACUUGACAUACAUGAUUGAGCCUUUGUGCCUUCUCUGCAAUAACCAACUAGACAGACUUGUGAAAAUUCAAAUGUCUUCCAUUAGUUUUAUUUUGUUUUUGCUACAAAUGAUCAGUGUGAAGAUGUGCAUGAAUCACCAUUGUAACAAUUUCUUUGACUAGCAACCUUAAAUAAAUGUUCACUUUAUCAUUUACUUGAAUGCAUUUAAUACAACUUGACAAUCCAGAAUAAUGUGAGUAAGAAGUUGUACAUUUAUAGUAUCUAAGUCCAAAGGUAAGAUUUAAUUAAUUGUGAAAUUCAUAUCAGCUAUUUCCUUCAGUAGAGGAUUUGCAAAUGUACAAGAGUCACACAGAGUUGAAAAUCUUAGUGGACAGAUAUAUAUGUCUGUAUUGUGAAGGUAUAUGAUUUAGAAUAUGGAUGUUUUUAAUUAAAUUCAAUUGCACACUCC
Molecule: RNA transcript, 1228 nt
Organism: Ostrea edulis (European flat oyster)
Lineage: Eukaryota; Metazoa; Mollusca; Bivalvia; Ostreida; Ostreidae
Gene name: asialoglycoprotein receptor 2-like
Exons: 5
Source: RefSeq, a predicted model, not a curated record